Chinchilla lanigera (long-tailed chinchilla) is the source of this 3095-nucleotide long non-coding RNA. RefSeq lists it as uncharacterized. NCBI's taxonomy places the organism in Eukaryota, Metazoa, Chordata, Mammalia, Rodentia, Chinchillidae. The record is from RefSeq and is a predicted model, not a curated record. The transcript is spliced from 4 exons.
ACAAAGAGUUCACUUGCCAAGCAGGACGUGGUUUUCUGGCUUAAAAGCUGCUCUCACACCUGGUUUGCUGCUGACCUGAUCCUACCCUGCGUGGAGGCUCUCAGGCAGUCGCUGGCCAGCUAACAAAGGCUCAUUCUAAAAUCUCAGUUGGCGAUCCGUACAUUUUGGUGUUUGUCGGUUGGCACCUUGGUUCGGUUCUGACUCCAGAACACUGGGAGGGGAGGAAACUUCAGGAAGCAGUGCUUUUCCUUGGAGGAGAUAGGCCCCUGGGAGUAUUUCUGAAAGGUUCUCACUUCCUUCAAAUUCAAAAUGUUUAAGGAAGUCAUAAAGAGUCUCGCUUGUAAUUCCAGUCUCCUUGUGGAAUUGUCUGACCAUGAGUAAAAUGAGCUACUUGAGCUGUUGCUUGGAUUCACUUGCUUUUGGGAUACUGGACUGAGGCUGAUGGUCUCUUCAGUUCCUGGCCACAUGAGCAAGAAGGGGAAGAAAGAAAUAAAGAUAUUCUAUGACAGUGAGGUUAAAAGUCUUUUGCAACCUCAUCGAGGAAGUGCAACAGUAUUACAUUCUACUGUGUAAAAUUAAGUCAUAAGGCCAGUCUGCAUGCAAGGGAGGACCUCACUCAAGGACAUGAGAACCAAGAGGGAGAUCACUGGAAAUGGAUCUGAGGUUUGGCCAUGUCAGAGGCUCAGUUGCAAGGGGACCUUCUUGCUGUUCAAAAAACAUUAUUUAUUGUAUAAGAUACGUAUUUGUCUAGGUUUGUAUAUGUGUGCCUGUGCCUGUAUCCAAACAAUAGUGUGCAAAUUUGAUUUGCUGUGAUAUUUUGAGGUGGUAAAAGCAACUGUGUUUCAGAACUUUUCUUUCUCUUAAAAGGAGGUGUUUUUAAAAAUUUGAUUAUAUGAAGUCUCUUUCUCAUUUAUGCUAUAUUGCAUUAGAAUGAAAAACAAUUAAUUAUGAAAACAGAAUUGAAUAAAUAAUAAUUUAGAUCACGAACAUGUCCUUUAAAAAGACAAGUCUCCUUAUUGCCCACUGGGGCCAUGUGGCAAGAAGAAAGAUCUAAAGUGUCAGCAACAAUGAGAAUUCUGGUUCUAUGCUGACCUGAGUUAUAUGGAAGUAAUAUAUAAAGUAAUAAGGCAAGUACAAAGGAACAAAAAUUGUACCAGUCUUCAAAGAUAGCAUGGAGGAUCUUUGUUAUAUACUAGGCAUUGUGUGGUACAGCACCAAUCUUGUACGUUUCGGUUGGUUUUUGGGGACUUGCCAUGUCUUAAGAUAUUUACAAUUAGCAAAUUGAUACAGAUGUUAUAUUCAGUAACUGUUUAUAUCAGGCUAUUAAAACAUUUACACUUUAGUACUAAUAUAUAUGUUACCUAAAAUAUAUCAGUUUUGUAGGAACUAAUUCACAACUUUAGAAUAAAAGAACAGAUAUUUAAAGUAAAUAACAUAAACUUAAAUCAUUGAGAAUUGUUAAUAACAUCUGUCACUAACUGUUACAAUUACAAUGGAAAAUCCUUUCACUAAAAUGUGGUACCAAAGGAUGAAGGGCAUCUUAAAUGGAUAGAUUUUAGAUUUAAUUAAAAUGUUAAGUUACUGUUGAAACAAAGGUCACAUCAUAAAAUCUAAAUGAAAGAAGUUCAUCACUCUCUACGCUAAUAUGUUCUUACGAUUUCAUAAUGAAUAUUGCAUAUUUACCAUUUAAAGGAUAAAUGAAAAUCAUUUUAUUUGAGUGGAUGAACUAAGAUGAUAAGGACUACUAUAAGCUCUACAUGUUGGAUACUAAAUUUCCAAAUAUUCAUGUUUUUAUCUGCAUAUGUGCCAUCCAGUAACUUUCAAACACCAUCUAGUUUUGUAUUAUUAUUUUGGCAGCAUUACGGGUAAGAUAACAAUGAGUUUCUUUACAUUAUCUAAGUACCUUUUGAAUAUUUACAUGUACAGUAUUAUGGUCAACAUUUUAUCAGAUUUUGCAUUGUGUAUAUUUAUAGAUAAUAUUCUGUAUUAAAUAAUAGUUUUUUAUGAUAUAUAAUAAAUGAAGCUAAGCGAGAUGCAAACUUUCAAAACUGAAGAAGGAUUAAGGGAAAUGAACACCGGAGAUUUGUUGGGGUGUCUGCAGCUGCUGUUUUAACUCGAAGGUGUUGGGAACUAUGGGAGCUGGAAACUGGUCAUAUGUGUGAAGGCAGGACAGAGACAGAGUGCCUGAGGCAGUCAAGCUACCUUAAGAAAAACAUCCUGCCUGGACAACUACAGCUGUUAGUCACUAGGCAACAUUACCUCUCCUGAUACUAACUUUGCAACAAUAUAAAUAAGUGCCCCUACUGUUGAAGUUAGAUCCUCUUGUCGAUCAGUUGAGGUCACCUCCUCUGACCUAGCUCUUAUCUCUGUCUUUAUUUUCCUCAUACUCACUACCAUUUCUCUCUGGGGUACAACGAGAGACCAACGAGGUUCUCUACACUAAGGUAGGAAUGUGGUUAAUAUAGUACAGUAAGAAUAUUUCUCUGGGAAUAACAAAAAUAUAUUAGUGAUUUUGGAAAUAAACCAGCAAAUAUUCCAAAGCUGUGUUCUGCAUAUCAACUCAACAAAAAAUGAAAGGGGAUAGGUAUGAUGGCACAUUCUUGUCUUCUCAGCAACUGGGGAGGCUGAAGCAGGAGGAUCACAAUUUCAAAACCAGCCUGGGAAAUUAGGCAAGACCUUGUCUGGACUUUUAAAAGAAUUUAAAACCAAGGACUGAACAGGGAGCCUUAGAUUCAAUCCCCCUUACUACAAAAACAAAACAAAACAAAACAAAAUAAAAUGUCCUCAUAAGCUGUCAAGGCAGAAACAGCAUAGCAGAACUGCAUGGCUGAGAAAAGUUUUACACUGCCUGGUCACCAGGAAGCAGAGAGAGAAGCAGGGAGUCUGGACAAGAACACACUCUUCUGGGCACAGCCUGAGGGAACCCCCAAUUCCCACUGGGUUUCACUUCCAGAUUUGAGACUUUUGGGGGACAUUUUUGGUCUAAGCUAUAGCAAUGAUGAUAACCCAAACAAUCAAGCACGAUAAAAAAACUAUUGCUGAACCUUUCCACAAUGUCUGCCAUUUGCAUUGAUUUUCACAUGUUAAAUCAAAUA